Molecule: non-coding RNA, 1041 nt
Organism: Pocillopora verrucosa
Lineage: Eukaryota; Metazoa; Cnidaria; Anthozoa; Scleractinia; Pocilloporidae
Source: RefSeq, a predicted model, not a curated record
CUUUAGAAGGAGCAGCACUAAAGAGGACAGUAAAAGAACCUGCAAAUGAAAGCAAUAAAAGAACAGAGUAAAGUUUUGAAUUUCUGGCUUGACGACGAAGCCUCUACAGCCCUAUCCCUAUACGAGAGAGGAGUUGUAUAUUGACGAGGAAGGGGACAUCGCAGAAGAGUUCAGCUGAUAACCAGUAAAUCAGGAAAUCCACAAAAAGGAUGGCCUUUUCUGAAAUACAAAAUAUAGGAGCAAUUUUGCGCGACAUAGGCGACGAGACGAACCAGACAGCGCAGGCCAACGAAAAUGUUGCGGUUGUAAUCCUCUUUAUUUUUCUUACAUGGACACAUAACCAGCAGAGACAAGAAAGCUACGAGGGAGGCGCCAUUAAUCUGACCAAUCUUACGGUAUUGAUCAUGAACAAUUCAGAAGGACAAUGAAAUAUUUGCUCUUUCCAAAGAAAAAUUAUGUAUAUUGUUCAAGAAAACGAUGUCGGAAAUAAUACUUUGAUAGACAGUUAAAAGAGAAUACUUCCUAACAGCAGGUGGGAUAAUUAUCAAAGUCACGUGUUCUAAUGGAUACCAAGAGGCGAGCUCGUAAGGGCAAUUAUUAUGUUCGGUGGAAAUGCCAAGAAUUAUUGAGAAAAUAUGUAACAAAUUAAGUUAUAUAGAUUUUUAAAUUGGUUUAUCAUCUAGGAAUUACAAUUUUUUAGGUAGUUUAAAAUUUCCUAUAUUGGUAUAGAAAUGACUUUAGACUGUCAAACAAGAUUUGAUUGGAGAAAGAGGGGGCCAAUAGUUAUUAUUAUGCCAAUAUCACAGUCAAAAUAUAAUUUAUUAAUUCCAUCCAAAAUUUAUUUGAAUUAAGUAUUGAAGUUUAUUUGUAAAUACAAUUUCACCGUGAACGAACUCGCGGUCUAAUGAAGAAGAUUAACAUUCUAGAUUGUCAUGAAAGUUGGUUUAUACUAAGUAAGUUUUAACAUAGCAUUGUAGGUAAGAUCAGCAGAAUUUUAGGACAAUAGAAACGAAAAAAAUCAAUGCUUCUUUCCUCUUGUUC